UUUGUAUAUGAUGAUCAACAAGGGACUUAAUACUGAUUUUGUGUGAUGUCACCUUUCAAACGAUCUGAUAUAG
RNAcentral lists this small nucleolar RNA (73 nucleotides) under Labrus bergylta (ballan wrasse). Its description in RNAcentral is "Small nucleolar RNA SNORD82 (ENSLBEG00000019143.1)". Lineage: Eukaryota; Metazoa; Chordata; Actinopteri; Labriformes; Labridae. The record is from RNAcentral.